GGUUUGAUUCUGGCCUUUAGAUUGAACGCUGGCGGAUGCUUUACACAUGCAAGUCGAACGGCAGCACGGACUUCGGUCUGGUGGCGAGUGGCGAACGGGUGAGGAAGAUCGGAACGUGCCUAGUAGCGGGAUAACGAUGAAAGCAGUAUAAUACUGGUUAUCUUCUGGGGCGGGGACCUUCGGGCCUCGCACUAUUAGAGUGGCCGAUAUCGGAUUAGCUAGUUGGUGGGGUAACGGCUCAAGGCGACGAUCCGUAGCUGGUUUGAGAGGACGACCAGCCACACUGACUGAGACAUUGCCCAGACUCCUACGGGAGGCAGCAGUGGGAAUUUGAUACCGGGGAAACCUCGAUUCAGCCACCCCUGCGUGUGCGAUGAAGGCCUUCGGUUGGGAAGCACUUUGGUGAGGAAAGAAAACGGCACGGGAUAAUACCCUCGUGCAACUGACGGUACCUGCAGAAUAAGCACCGCUAACUUCAUGCGCCAGUGCAGCCGCGGUAAUAUGAAAAGCGUUAACGGAAUUACUGGGGCGCAAGUGCAGGCGGUUCGGAAAGAAAGAUGUGAAAUCCCAGAGCUUAACUUUGAACCGCAUUUUUAACUACCGAGCUAGAGUGUGUCAGAGGGAGGUGGAACGCGCAGCGGUGAAAUGCGUGAUAUGGAGGAACACCGAUGGCGAAGGCAGCCUCCUGGGAUAACAAUAUCGCUCAUGCACGAAAGCGUGGGACACAACAGGAUUAGAUACCCCCUGGUAGUCCACGCCCAAAUGAUGUCAACUAGCUGUUGGGGCUUCGGCCUUGGUAGCGCAGCUAAUGCAGUGUGUUGACCGCCUCGGGGAGUACGGUCGCAAGAUUAAAAACUCAAAGAAUGACGGGGACCCGCACAAGCGGUGGAUGAUGUGGAUUAAUUCGAUGCAACGCGAAAACCUUACCUACCCUUGACAUGUCUGAACCUGAAGAGAUUUGGGAGUGCCUGCAAGGAGAACCGGAACACAGGUGCUGCAUGGCUGUCGCUUCGCUCGUGUCGUGAGAUGCUGGGUUAAGUCCCGCAACGAGCGCGCAACUCCUUGUCAUUAGUUGCUACGAAAGGGCACUCGACGAGACUGUUAAGAUAAAACCGAGAAGGUGGGGAUGACGUCAAGGUCCUAUGGUUCCCAGGUAGGGCUUCACACGUCAUACAAUGGUCGGGACAGAGGGUCGCCAACCUGCGAGGGGGAGCCAAUCCCAGAAACCCGAUCGUAGUCCGGAUCGCAGUCGCAACUCGACUGGUGAAGUCGGAAUCGCUAGUAAUCGCGAUCAGCAUGUCGCGGUGAAUACGUUCCCGGGUCUUGUACACACCGCCCGUCACACCAUGGAGUGGGUUUUACCAGAAGAGUUAGCCUAACCCCCGUAAGCGAGGGCGAUUACCACGGUAGAUCUAUGACUGGGGUGAAGUCGUAACAAGGUAG
Molecule: ribosomal RNA, 1443 nt
Filed under: uncultured Bordetella sp.
Lineage: Bacteria; Pseudomonadati; Pseudomonadota; Betaproteobacteria; Burkholderiales; Alcaligenaceae
Description: partial 16S-23S ribosomal RNA intergenic spacer
Rfam family: Bacterial small subunit ribosomal RNA
Source: RNAcentral